UCCGGUUUGACACCGGCAGUCUCGUUAGAGUCCCCGACACCCGAAGGCUCGCUGGCAACUAACGACAGGGGUUUCGCUCGUUAAGCGACUUAACGCGACACUUCACAGCACGAGCUGACGACAGCCAUGCAGCACCUGUGCACGUUCCACCGUAAAGGCGUCGUUGCUGUUUCCAACAACUAAUCCGUGCAUGUCAAGCCUUGGAUAAGGUUCUUCGCGUUGCUUCGAAUUAAGCCACAUGCUCCACCGCUUGUGUGAGCCCCCGUCAAUUCCUUUGAGUUUUAGCCUUGCGACCGUACUCCCCAGGCGGCGCACUUAACACUUUUGCUUCGAUCCGGAUGGAGUCAAAUCCUCCCUGAUCUAGUGCGCAUCGUUUACGGCGUGGACUAC
This 390-nucleotide unclassified non-coding RNA is filed under the name uncultured Phycisphaeraceae bacterium. RNAcentral's name for it is "contains 16S-23S intergenic spacer region". The record is from RNAcentral. Lineage: Bacteria; Pseudomonadati; Planctomycetota; Phycisphaerae; Phycisphaerales; Phycisphaeraceae.